CCAAUAGCGUAUAUUAAAGUUGUUGCAGUUAAAAAGCUCGUAGUUGAAUUUCGGGGUUAGUAGGUUGGUCAUGCCUCUGGUAUGUACUGAUCUUACUGAUUCCUCCUUCCUGAUGAACCGUAAUGCCAUUAAUUUGGUGUUGCGGGGAAUUUGGACUGUUACUUUGAAAAAAUUAGAGUGUUUAAAGCAAGCUAACGCUUGAAUACAUUAGCAUGGAAUAAUGAAAUAGGACGUUCGAUCCUAUUUUGUUGGUUUCUAGGAUUGACGUAAUGAUUAAUAGGGAUAGUUGGGGGCAUUAGUAUUCAAUUGUAAGAAGUGAAAUUCUUGGAUUUAUUGAAGACUAACUACUGCGAAAGCAUUUGCCAAGGAUGUUUUCAUUAAUCAAGAACGAAAGUUAGGGGAUCGAAGACGAUCAGAUACCGUCGUAGUCUUAACCAUAAACUAUGCCGACUAGGGAUCGGAUGAUGUUAAUUUUUUAAUGACUCAUUCGGCGCCUUACGGGAAACCAAAGUGUUUGGNUUC
Molecule: ribosomal RNA, 522 nt
Filed under: uncultured Glomus
Lineage: Eukaryota; Fungi; Glomeromycota; Glomeromycetes; Glomerales; Glomeraceae
Description: SSU rRNA
Rfam family: Eukaryotic small subunit ribosomal RNA
Source: RNAcentral